Molecule: ribosomal RNA, 400 nt
Filed under: uncultured bacterium
Lineage: Bacteria
Description: bacterial SSU rRNA
Rfam family: Bacterial small subunit ribosomal RNA
Source: RNAcentral
UAGGGAAUUUUGCGCAAUGGACGAAAGUCUGACGCAGCAAUACCGUGUGUGGGAAGAAGCUCUGUGGAGUGUAAACCACUGUCGGCAGGGACGAAUUAAUGACUGUACCUGCAAAGGAAGCACCGGCUAACUCUGUGCCAGCAGCCGCGGUAAUACAGAGGGUGCAAGCGUUGUCCGGAUUUAUUGGGCGUAAAGCGUCUGUAGGCGGCUUUUCAAGUCCGAAGUGAAAGAGUGGAGCUCAACUCCAUACCCGCUUUGGAAACUGAAGAGCUAGAGAAUGUUAGAGGUAAGUGGAAUUCCAAGUGUAGCGGUGAAAUGCGUAGAUAUUUGGAGGAACACCAGAGGCGAAAGCGGCUUACUGGGACAUUUCUGACGCUGAGAGACGAAAGCCAGGGGAGCG